ACCUACGGGGGGCAGCAGUGGGGAAUAUUGCACAAUGGGGGAAACCCUGAUGCAGCGACGCCGCGUGAGUGAAGAAGUAUUUCGGUAUGUAAAGCUCUAUCAGCAGGGAAGAAAAUGACGGUACCUGACUAAGAAGCCCCGGCUAACUACGUGCCAGCAGCCGCGGUAAUACGUAGGGGGCAAGCGUUAUCCGGAUUUACUGGGUGUAAAGGGAGCGUAGGUGGCAUGGUAAGACAGAAGUGAAAAACAGGGGCUCAACCCCGAGGAUCGCUUUUGGAAC
RNAcentral lists this ribosomal RNA (280 nucleotides) under uncultured bacterium. Its description in RNAcentral is "partial 16S ribosomal RNA". It matches the Rfam family "Bacterial small subunit ribosomal RNA", at positions 337 to 633 of the family's 1533-position model. The record is from RNAcentral.